This 639-nucleotide ribosomal RNA is filed under the name Klebsiella pneumoniae. RNAcentral's name for it is "partial 23S ribosomal RNA". It matches the Rfam family "Bacterial large subunit ribosomal RNA", at positions 1292 to 1915 of the family's 2925-position model. Lineage: Bacteria; Pseudomonadati; Pseudomonadota; Gammaproteobacteria; Enterobacterales; Enterobacteriaceae. The record is from RNAcentral.
GAAUGCUGACAUAAGUAACGAUAAAGCGGGUGAAAAGCCCGCUCGCCGGAAGACCAAGGGUUCCUGUCCAACGUUAAUCGGGGCAGGGUGAGUCGACCCCUAAGGCGAGGCCGAAAGGCGUAGUCGAUGGGAAACAGGUUAAUAUUCCUGUACUUGGUGUUACUGCGAAGGGGGGACGGAGAAGGCUAUGUUAGCCGGGCGACGGUUGUCCCGGUUUAAGCAUGUAGGCUGGUUAUCCAGGCAAAUCCGGAUAAUCAAGGCUGAGGUGUGAUGACGAGGCACUACGGUGCUGAAGUAACAAAUGCCCUGCUUCCAGGAAAAGCCUCUAAGCAUCAGGUAACAUCAAAUCGUACCCCAAACCGACACAGGUGGUCAGGUAGAGAAUACCAAGGCGCUUGAGAGAACUCGGGUGAAGGAACUAGGCAAAAUGGUGCCGUAACUUCGGGAGAAGGCACGCUGGUGUGUAGGUGAAGUCCCUGCGGAUGGAGCUGAGACCAGUCGAAGAUACCAGCUGGCUGCAACUGUUUAUUAAAAACACAGCACUGUGCAAACACGAAAGUGGACGUAUACGGUGUGACGCCUGCCCGGUGCCGGAAGGUUAAUUGAUGGGGUUAUCCGUAAGGAGAAGCUCUUGAUCGA